AUGCAGGACCCAUCUCAUUACCUACAGGGGGGGCGGGGGGGGGGGGGGGGGGGGGGGGGGUCAGAAAAGAGAGAUGGAACCCCUAUAGGAUUCUGGAAAAGUGCUGCCGAUUGGCUGUUGCCCCAGGUGAUAGCGCUGCGGCAGUGGCACUCUGUUAUCUUAACAAAGUGGGUCCAUGGGCUAUUGUACAGAAAAACCUCCUCUCUCCUUCACUCCCCUCCUCCUCUCUCCAUCACUCCCCUCCUCCUCCUCUCCAACACUCCCGCCCUCCUCCUCUACAUCACUCCCCUCCUCCUCCUCUCCAUCACUCCCGCCCUCCUCCUCCAUCACUCCCCUCCUCCUCUCUCCAUCACUCCCCUCCUCCUCCUCUCCUUUACUCCCCUCCUCCUCUCUCCAUCACUCCCCUCCUCCUCUCUCCAUCACUCCCCUCCUCCUCUCUCCAUCACUCCCCUCCUCCUCUCUCCUUCACUCCCCUCCUCCUCUCUCCAUCACUCCCCUCCUCGGCCUCUCCAUCACUCCCCUCCUCCUCUCUCCUUCACUCCCCUCCUCCUCUCUCCAUCACUCCCCUCCUCCGCCUCUCCAUCACUCCCCUCCUCCUCUCUCCAUCACUCCCCUCCUCCUCUCACCUUCACUCCCCUCCUCCUCUCUCCAUCACUCCCCUCCUCCUCUCUCCAUCACUCCCCUCCUCCUCCUCUCCAUCACUCCCGCCCUCCUCCUCCAUCACUCCCCUCCUCCUCUCUCCAUCACUCCCCUCCUCCUCCUCUCCAUCACUCCCGCCCUCCUCCUCCAUCACUCCCCUCCUCCUCUCUCCAUCACUCCCCUCCUCCUCCUCUCCAUCACUCCCGCCCUCCUCCUCCAUCACUCCCCUCCUCCUCUCUCCAUCACUCCCCUCCUCCUCUCUCCAUCACUCCCCUCCUCCUCCUCUCCAUCACUCCCGCCCUCCUCCUCCAUCACUCCCCUCCUCCUCUCUCCAUCACUCCCCUCCUCCUCUCUCCAUCACUCCCCUCCUCCUCCUCUCCAUCACUCCCGCCCUCCUCCUCCAUCACUCCCCUACUCCUCUCUCCAUCACUCCCCUCCUCCUCUCUCCAUCACUCCCCUCCUCCUCCUCCUCUCUUCAUCACUCCCCUCCUCCUCCUCUCCAUCACUCCCCUCGUCCUCCUCUCUCCAUCACUCCCCUCCUCCUCCUCUCUUCAUCACUCCCCUCCUCCUCCUCCUCCUCUCUCCAUCACUCCCCUCGUCCUCCUCUCUCCAUCACUCCCCUUCUCCUCUCUCCAUCACUCCCAUCCUCCUCUCUCCAUCACUCCUCCUCCUCUCUCCAUCACUCCCCUCCUCCUCCUUUCUCCACCACUCCCCUCUUCCUCCUCCUUCUGCUCCUCUCUCCAUCACUCCCCUCUUCCUCCUCCUCUCUCCAUCACUCCUCCUCCUACUUUUUCCAUCACUACCCUCUUCCUCCUCCUCUCUCCAUCACUCCUCCUCCUCCUCUCUCCAUCACUCCUCCUCCUCUCUCCAUCACUCCUCCUCCUCUCUCCAUCACUCCUCCUCCUCUCUCCAUCACUCCUCCUCCUCUCUCCAUCACUCCCGCCCUCCUCUCUCCAUCACUCCUCCUCCUCUCUCCAUCACUCCUCCUCCUCCUCCUUCUCCAUCACUCCUCCUCCUCUCUCCAUCACUCCUCCUCCUCUCUCCAUCACUCCUCCUCCUCUCUCCAUCACUCCUCCUCCUCUCUCCAUCACUCCUCCUCCUCUCUCCAUCACUCCCCUCCUCCUCCUUUCUCCACCACUCCCCUCUUCCUCCUCCUUCUGCUCCUCUCUCCAUCACUCCCCUCUUCCUCCUCUUCUUUCUCCUCCUCUCUCCAUCACUUCCCUAUUCCUUUGGUGUCAAUAA
Long non-coding RNA from Oncorhynchus mykiss (rainbow trout), 1881 nucleotides. Lineage: Eukaryota; Metazoa; Chordata; Actinopteri; Salmoniformes; Salmonidae. The record is from Ensembl.